RNAcentral lists this ribosomal RNA (254 nucleotides) under uncultured bacterium. Its description in RNAcentral is "partial 16S ribosomal RNA". It matches the Rfam family "Bacterial small subunit ribosomal RNA", at positions 524 to 776 of the family's 1533-position model. The record is from RNAcentral.
UACGUAGGUGGCAAGCGUUGUCCGGAUUUACUGGGCGUAAAGAGCGCGCAGGCGGUCGUUCAAGUCGCGUGUGAAAGCCCCCGGCUCAACUGGGGAGGGUCACGCGAUACUGAUCGACUCGAAGGCAGGAGAGGGAAGUGGAAUUCCCGGUGUAGUGGUGAAAUGCGUAGAUAUCGGGAGGAACACCAGUGGCGAAGGCGACUUCCUGGCCUGUUUCUUGACGCUGAGGCGCGAAAGCUAGGGGAGCAAACGGG